Molecule: long non-coding RNA, 6000 nt
Filed under: Nicotiana tabacum (common tobacco)
Lineage: Eukaryota; Viridiplantae; Streptophyta; Magnoliopsida; Solanales; Solanaceae
Description: long non-coding RNA (NTAB_LNC004385)
Source: RNAcentral
CUGCCCCCUUUUUUUGGCUUACCUUGAGCCAUGGGUCUUCGGAAACAACCUCUCUAUCUUCACAAGGUAGGGGUAAGGUAUGCGUACACACUACCCUCCCCAGACCCCACUUGUGGGAUUAUACUCGGUAUGUUGUUGUUAUUGUUGUCCAAUACAAAACCUCAAACCCAGUAAAUGAUGUUUCUUAUUAACAAUGAAUUGAGCAAAUUAAAACAAUGGGACGGUUCAAGCUUGUGAAUAAUCUUAACUAAAUUUCAGGAAAAAAAGUACAUUAACUAAAAAUUAUCAGCAAUCUUUUCAUGCUCUUUUGUGAACAUCCAAAUCAAAGACAGUUACCGAAUGCUUGUAGCAAAAUACUGUUGUCUCCACUAAAACUCAACCUAGAGAAUACAGUUUCUUGUCAUUCAAUAAAGUAGUCAAGAGUAAAGCAUCCUAACUACCAAAAAAUAAUUACAGAUAUGGAAGAAAAAGCAGACAAAGUGUGAUACGGCAUACAACAUCUCCCUGCUACAACUGAUAAUUGAAUUUCUUGGCCAAAGAGAAGUGCCAAAUCCCCUUGUCUAUGUCCUCCUUUCUAUACAUAUAUAGAUUUUAUAUUUACAACUUUAACCCUUCUUCUCACCGUAACUAUCAACAAGUAGAUUGAAUACCAAUUUCCAGCAAGCAAAAAAAAAUUUAUCCGUAAAAAGAAAGAGUAAUUCAAUAUACAUAUGAAGUGAAGCAUUCUGAAGUGAAGCAUCAUAAUUGACUUUUGAUCAACGAUAUUUUUCUGUCAACAAUAUCUAAGGAAAUCUAAGGAAGGCUUUUCGUUUUUAUUCCGGUGCAGAGGCCAUGACAGAUCACACAAGAUCAAGAACACAAAUGGAUCUAUAAGAAUUGCAUUCACUUGUGCACAAUUUGACGUGUGAUAUGGAGGAUUGGUUGGUAGUCGACAACUGCAGGUAUGAUCCUUCUAUCUUUACUAGUUCCUCGGCACGUGCGUUACACGUAUAUCUCGAGUCUGAUUAUUAAUACAAAGCUUUGAAUAAGUAACUUUACUUGAAAGAAUAAACUACAAGUUAUUAUAAUUAAUGUGGUCUUUAUAUGGUGGAUCGUUUGUCGAGAUCGAGAUGAUUGGAUAUCUAACCUACGAGGAUGAACAAUCAAAGUUUAAUUAGAUACAUGCUAUUGUUAUUACUUAUUUUGAUUUUAUGAGGUACGUAAUACUUCCUUAUAGAUGAUAUUCUUACUGUAUGUUCCUUUCAUCCGUUUCGGUCACUUUGUUAUGACUCUCAAGAAGCACCUAGCUCAAUUUUUUGUAUAUAAGACUAUUAAGUUCAGUUCUACUCCCACACACCAUCCUAGAAAGUUUGACUUGAUCUUCCGUAUAGACUUUUGCAUUUUUUUUGUUACUCUUCUUCAAUCCUCUUGCCAUAUUUUAACUUUAAGUAUAAGAGAUACUUCUUUGAUUUCUCUUCUUAUAGGUAAUUUCUUAUGAGGGCUAAGCGCAGCACAUAUAGAAGAAAGGGUGGUUGUUCUCUCGAUACCAAAACCUUGAUAGUAAUAAAACACAGUUCCACCCCUAAUUGAAUUGCAUUUUUGAAGUUUUUACAAAGGUAUAAAAUUUGAGUCUACGUCGGAAAGAGUGAAUCCUCACUUAAUAACCCCUUCCCACGAAUGGACUUUGGGGGAAGGUGAACAGGAACCAUAACAGAAUUAGGAAAGUCUUACCACUCAUCUUUGACCCUAUUUCUUACACGUGAAAAUUCUUUUUAAUUAAAUAAUUAUACAUCCGGGGAGGCUGAUCUCUAGUUAUACAUAACUUUUUUUAAACUCCGGUUAUGCAUACCUUGAUAUAUAUGAUGUUGGUAUUCUUAAAAAAAAAUUGUUUGAACUCUUAAGGAAGUAAAUAAUAGUAUAUGUAUUUCUCAAGCAAACUAUGCUCAUUUUUCAUUUAUGGACUAUACUUGGAAACAUUUAUCCCUUUAUACCAUCUUACUUUUGUCACAAUUCCUGUAAAUAUAGUAGUUGUACGUUACUCUUAAAUGUAUAAUUAUCUUUAAUUAUUUAUUUCUUUUGUUAGUUUAUUAAUAUUAAUGAGGUGACUUUUGGAGUUUCAAAAAUAUCACAUAAAUCAGAAAAGGGAAAAAAGCAAAAGAUCAAGGAAAAAAGAUCGAUAGAUAGGAGUUUUAGCUUUAGAGAAUGCCACAAUCCUUCGGAAAAAAGUUAGAAAUAGCCUGAUUUACAACUGCUACUUGAAAAUUAGCCACAGUUUCAAAAGUAAUCGAAAUUUUGCCACUUUUCAUGUAAAAAUAAAAUCUGAACAAAAAAAAACAAUUCUAGCAUAAUAUGCCCGAGUUCGAAUUUUUUACAUAUGAGAUUCCAGCAUAAUGUGUUGGAGUUCCAACAUAAUAUGAUGGAAGUUUAUAUGCAGGAGCUCCAUAAUCCAGCAUAUUAUGCUGGAACUUUUCGUAUUUCAGCUAGGGUAUUUUUGUCCAGAUUUUAUCUCCGCAUAAAAUAGUGGCUAUUUUUCAAUUACCAGCCCGAAAAUUGCUUGGCCCAUGCUAUUUUGACCAUUCCUUCAUCGUGUGGUUCAAUAAUCGUUAAACUAUCUUAAUAUCUCAUUAUGCUCGCAUAGAAAGUUUCUCUUUUCUUCAAUCUCGUGUAGCACAACUUCCACAUAUUCACAUAAAGAUAAAUUAAGAGAAUAUGAUACAAUAAAUACAAAUAUAUAACUUAAGAAUAAUGUUAAGACAUGCCUGAACAAUAAACAAAUUCAUAUGAACAACAGAGCAACACUAAGACCUUAUUAGAUAUAAUUUGGGGAAAAACUGAACUAUAUAUAACAUCUAAUAGAAAACGCAGUUUGAUACUUUCUUAACCAUUAAAAAAUAUAUGAAUGAAUAGAAACAUGAGAUUGUCCAGUGUUCCUCUCGGGGUUAGUGGCAAAGAAGACAAUGUAGACUAAAACAAAGGUACCAUUAAGUUCUUUUUGGACAUGAUUAUUAUUUUACCUGUGAUGGAAUCACGUGAUAUUUUUUCAUGGAGGAUUUUGCAAUGCUUUAGUCUCUAUUUGCAAAUCAUCUUUCUUAAGAGGACUUAGCGGUUUAAAGAGUAGAACAAACUUGGAAGUGAUAAGAAGGAGGAAAGAAAAUAGAGAUUGAGACUGAAAUUUGAGAGCUAUAUUCCAUUUUUUUUUUUAAUAAGACAAGAAGAUUUAAUUUGAGAUAAGUACAAAUUUUUGGUCUUUCUAAUUGAAGGAUAAUCUUUGUAAUUCAUUCCCACUUAAUUAUGAUCAUGAAAAGAGGAUAUACAUUAAGCCAAGUAUCUUAUGAAUUAUGCUCCAUGUUGAAAAAGUUAUUAUUAAAACCUUUAAUACAUUAAGCCAAGUAUCUUAUGAAUUAUGCUCCAUGUUGAAAAAAUUAUUAUUAAAACCUUUAAUUCAUACCAAUGGAUAACCUUUUCGGUGAGUUUCCUGUCGAUCACCUUAAGUUUGUAGUCCUACUGGAUCUAAUUAGCUUUAAAUAUUAACAAUGUAUAUACGAAAAAUAAACAAAUAAUACAAGAGUCAUCAACACAAACUUUCAGAGAAAAGAUAUCAUAACCGAUCACAGGAUUCACUUUGACAAUAAUGUUAUAUAUUGUCCCCUUAAAAAAAAAUAGGGCUAUAUAUUGUCGGCAUAUAUAACUAAUAAGCGUAGAGACUAAUGAAUACUUGCAAAAAGAGUAAAACUUGCGGCAACCAAUAGGAGAACCAUCAGAUCUGGCUGUUGAUGAAUGAGUAUAAGCAUUGGCUUGGGGGUGUUAUAGGUGUAUUUUUUUCCCGCGAAGAGAGUUUUCUGCCAAAAGUGCAUAUAAAGCGUUGUCUUUUCUCUCUUUUUAAAGCGCUGGCCUUGUUUCUUUUUUGAUUGAAGCGUUGGCUUAUCUAGUUAAUUUUAUUUCAUUAAGUAGUGUAAGGUUAUUUAGAAUAGUUAUUGGGUGUUUAAGCAGGGGUAUUAUGGUAUUUUAACUUUUUAAUUUAGGGCUUCCCACUUUUAAUAUAGUAUAGAUUAGUGUUCACCUACGAGCAAUAUCCAAUUUAGUUGGUAUUUACCUUUGAGCAAAAUCCAAUUUAAUAAGUUGUAAAAUUAUGUAUGCGAAUUUAUGAGAUACGGGAAGAUAGAGGAGGUGAAAGGGUAUAUAAUUGAUAUGAAAUUAUUGAAAUCUUCAAGAGGUGUCUUUUGGGGAGAGAAUUUAAGAUGUGCAUUUAAGAGGUGUCUUUUGGGGUUUUAAGAGGUGUAUAGCACAAAAUUGAAGAAAAUAGUGGGAAAAUCUAAAAAAUUGAGAUAAAAGAUAAAAGGCUUUCUUGGCUAUAGAGAGUGCCAAGUCACCUUUCCUAUGUCCUUCCUUUAUAUAGAUUUUCAAGCCUUGCUCAAGCCGUCUGAUGCAGCUUAUAGUUUGGUUUAAGAAGUUGAAUGUCUUCGGAUCAAAAGAAUGAAGUAUGUUUUAUUUCUUUUUGUUUUCUUUUUACAUUAAGUAGUAAUUUCUUAAAUCAAAUGCAGCAUAAAACUUCGCAAUGCUUACUACAAGAGCUGGUGUGAGAUGCUAGAUUUUGACAAUGAGGCAUCUUCCAAAAAAACAUAAUAUUGGCAUGUCAUCUGAUGAGGUUUAUCAUCCAAAAGAUUUUAUUGCAGCCUUGAGUUUAAAUGUGUUUCGACAGUAUGCCUUCCUUUUCCCAUACAUGCACUCUGGAAUUUCAAUCAUGCACGUACAAAAUGUAUGCCUCUAAAUAGAUUGCAAGUCCUUGGCCAUGGAAACAAGACUUUGAGAUCUAAAGCUCUAUCCAAGGUAGCUUGUUAAUAAGAUCCCGACUAGCACGAAGAUAAUUACGAAACAAUAGAGGGUCUCAACGCUGUUUCUUGUUGCUUUUGAAAAAUUGGAGUUCUUGUGUUUUUUUCCUUUUCUAAGUCUGUAUAGUAGGCUUUUCAAGAAGGGUUAUCUGGUUUCCUUUUCUUGGGAUGUAAUAGAUAUAAAUACUUGGUAGACUCGUUCUUGAGGAAAGACUUUGCAUAUUGUGAUUCCAAAAAUUGAACUUGGCAAUUACUUUCAAGUUUGAGUUCUUGAUGCCCGAAUCGUGAUGAGUGGUUUUUGAGUAGAUAAUAGUAAUGUUAUGACAAACGUUAGUUGACUUCUCGAAGCAAGGUAUAUUUCUUACUCAGUCGUACUUUUAUAGUUUUUCUCUAACUCAUGAGAGAUGAUAUAUGAUUAGACAAGACGUCGAGCUGCCGUACUUAGACUGUGUCUUAUUUGAGUUGCUUACCUAAAGGACAUGUUGAGUCCAUAGAGAAGUUUGUAAAGUUGGUCCUAAAAGCAAUAACUGAUAGCAAUACCUAUGUGUGGGCUACAAUUCGUACAAUUGGCCAAUUCUACAAGAAUUGGAUCCUGCGGUUGUAAGAGGGGUUUCAUGAGGAUCUCUUCUCUCUUUUGGUAAAAUUCUAGGAUGAUGUUGUCAAUCCCAAGUAGCAUUUCAACUAUACUGCUCCUUAGUUGCAAUUUCAGUUUAGAUUUCUUGGAACGACACUUGAGCUAGAUACCGAAGAAAUUAAUUGAGUUCCUAAAUGAGUGACAUUAUUAUGAUGAAGGAAGCUGCUUUGCUUACUUUUGCCUCGUUACAUGUAACUGAAUCUAUAUUUGUGAUACUACUACGAAUCUCAUUCUCCUUCUCGAUCCUGAUAGUGCAUGAUUACUUUGGAUGGUGGAAUAAUACUAUCCAAUUAUUAUGCAGACCAGGCGACUCAAAUCUUUUCAUAGCCAAGUUAUCUGAAUGCAGGAGAUCUAGCCAGGAACAUUUUUUUGCAGGCAUGAGCUAGACUUUGCGAUAGCUUGGGAUAGGCUCUUAAGUGCAUUGGCUUGUAAUGUGGUAUGUCGCUUUGUAGCUAAGUUUCAGGGUAGACUCUAUUCUUGGAUUGAUGAAGUUGUUAACACUUUAAGUUUUGAUCUCACCUUUAAAUUUGACCAAGAAGUAAAAAUAGUUGCCAUUUU